CAUACUGUACCUGGUGAGCUGGUUAUUCUAAUUCGUUGUCAUUUUGCUCUGUGUAACCACCUGAUCCCCUACACACAGGUUGCCUCGGUUGGGCAAAUUCCAAAAGCUGUACUGAAAAGACAAGAUUUUAAUGAUGCCUCAAUCCCAAAUCAAAGGGAGAAUUACAGUCCUGUGUAUGUUCAGCCUCUAAGGAUGGCAGAUCCAGCAUCAGACUAUUUCCCUCACUCCCGAGCCCAGCGAGAUGGGUUUGACUAUCCCAGGAAGGAUUUGCCUUAUCCAGUUUAUCCAGAGGCGAGACAGUACCGGGUAUGUAUCAAUUACAUCCCUCUGCAUAUUAAUUAUAUCAUCUAUCCUGGUACUGAAUACA
RNAcentral lists this long non-coding RNA (367 nucleotides) under Corvus moneduloides (New Caledonian crow). RNAcentral's name for it is "lncRNA (ENSCMUG00000012837.2)". The record is from RNAcentral. Lineage: Eukaryota; Metazoa; Chordata; Aves; Passeriformes; Corvidae.